Molecule: transfer RNA, 73 nt
Filed under: Candidatus Obscuribacterales bacterium
Lineage: Bacteria; Bacillati; Candidatus Melainabacteria; Candidatus Obscuribacterales
Description: tRNA-Val
Rfam family: tRNA
About the family: Transfer RNA (tRNA) molecules are approximately 80 nucleotides in length. Their secondary structure includes four short double-helical elements and three loops (D, anti-codon, and T loops).
Source: RNAcentral
GGACGGUUGGCGCAGUUGGUAGCGCAUCACUUUGACAUAGUGGGGGUCACUGGUUCGAAUCCAGUACCGUCCA